RNAcentral lists this ribosomal RNA (389 nucleotides) under uncultured bacterium. RNAcentral's name for it is "bacterial SSU rRNA". It matches the Rfam family "Bacterial small subunit ribosomal RNA", at positions 28 to 417 of the family's 1533-position model. The record is from RNAcentral.
GACGAACGCUGGCGGCGUGCUUAACACAGGCAAGUCGAGCGAGGCCCACUCUUUGGGGUGGUGCCCUAGCGGCGAACGGGUGAGUAACACGUGGGCAACCUGCCCUCAGCUCUGGGAUAACUCCAAGAAAUUGGUGCUAAUACCGGAUGUGACCGCUGACCGCAUGGUCUGGUGGUGGAAAGAUUUAUCGGCUGAGGAUGGGCCCGCGGCCUAUCAGCUUGUUGGUGGGGCACGGCCCACCAAGGCGACGACGGGUAGCCGGCCUGAGAGGGUGACCGGCCACACUGGGACUGAGACACGGCCCAGACUCCUACGGGAGGCAGCGGUGGGGAAUAUUGCGCAAUGGGCGAAAGCCUGACGCAGCGACGCCGCGUGAGGGAUGACGGCCU